Aedes albopictus (Asian tiger mosquito) is the source of this 73-nucleotide non-coding RNA. Lineage: Eukaryota; Metazoa; Arthropoda; Insecta; Diptera; Culicidae. The record is from Rfam.
UGCCCAGCAACUCCUAUCCCUACCUCCUCGUGGUACCGGCCGGAAACUACGAGCAACCUUCGGGAAGAUAGGG